AUACUUACCUAGCAGGGGAGUCAUUUCCCAUGAUCAUGUAGGUAGGGUUCCCAGGAUGAGGUAUAUCCAUUGCAUUCUGGCUGCGCUGACCCUUGCGAUUUCCCCAAAUGCAGAAAACUCAACUGCAUAAUUUGUGGUCUUGGGGGGUACUGUGUUCAUGCUCUCCCCUG
RNAcentral lists this small nuclear RNA (170 nucleotides) under Sphenodon punctatus (tuatara). Its description in RNAcentral is "U1 spliceosomal RNA (ENSSPUG00000005296.1)". It matches the Rfam family "U1 spliceosomal RNA". From Rfam's summary of the family: U1 is a small nuclear RNA (snRNA) component of the spliceosome (involved in pre-mRNA splicing). Lineage: Eukaryota; Metazoa; Chordata; Lepidosauria; Sphenodontia; Sphenodontidae. The record is from Rfam by way of RNAcentral.